RNAcentral lists this long non-coding RNA (708 nucleotides) under Sinocyclocheilus grahami. RNAcentral describes it as "lncRNA (ENSSGRG00000009307.1)". The record is from RNAcentral. Lineage: Eukaryota; Metazoa; Chordata; Actinopteri; Cypriniformes; Cyprinidae.
UCACACCCUUUCUUGUUUUUGCUUUUAACUCAUUUAAAGAGCAACAAGUCACACCAGAGAAUUAUGAUGAUGUAAUCACUGUCGGACUGACACAUCAUACUAGAGGUGACAUAUCAGAAAGCUAUGAUGUUGUCAUCAUAAGACAGCUCUCCAAUAAUAAAGCAGAGGAAGAUCUGGAGGAGUAUGAUAAUGUAAAGAAUGUCAGUGAAGAUGUGCGAGACCUGUCUGACUAUGAUUAUUUGAGGGAAGAGCCAGGAAAACAGGGAGGGACUGUUUAAGUCAGUGACUACACCCACUGCCUCACAUCUUAUUACAGCUUUUAGUUGCUCUGCACUUAAAAGUGUUGAAUGUACCAACACAAUUGCAUUUAGCCAAAGCUUGCUGUUGUUACAAUUACUAGACAUUAAUAGAAAACAUGGACAUCAAUUCAAUACAAAUAUAGAACAAAUUCAUAAAAAAAGACACCUGCUUUUAAAAAGCUGAAGGUGUCCAGGUCAAAAGCACCUGCAGAACUAAAUGACAAACAUGCUUUUUACUCUUUUGCUCUUCAGCUAUAUUCUUUUUGCAAGAAAAGAUUGUUGCACACUGCUAUGUAUUGUAAAUGUAUUUAUCUUAUGAGUGCAUUUAGCAAAAAAUAAAAAUUCUCUCUUUUCUGAUGUUUAGAGUUUCUUCAAAUAUUUACAAUUUUAUUUAGACAACAAUAAUGAC